Molecule: long non-coding RNA, 5543 nt
Filed under: Salmo trutta (river trout)
Lineage: Eukaryota; Metazoa; Chordata; Actinopteri; Salmoniformes; Salmonidae
Description: lncRNA (ENSSTUG00000050315.1)
Source: RNAcentral
GUGUGUGUUUGUAAAAACAGCUCUGCUCAGAAGUUUGGAGCACACACCCUCUACAGCUGACUGACAGCUUCUCUUGAACACACACACACACACACACACACACACACACACACACACACACACACACACACACACACACACACACACACACACACACACACACACACACACACACACACACACACACACACACACACACACACACACACAUUUAAAUACCCUCAUAGGAAGACUUGCUGUAGUCAAAUUGAAUCAUCACUCUCAGUGAUACCACCAUGAGACGCUCAGGGCUGUUGAUUUUGGGCUUUGUCCUAAAUGUGUCUCACUGCUUGGACAUGCUGGAUAUGGAGGAGGACAUGGAGAUUGACCGUAACGUCAUUGGGAUCCUUGGAGAGGACAUCUUCCUCCGCUGUCAGUACCUGGGACAGAAUGACAUCACAGACGCCUCAUGGAAACGCCCAGACUCUAGAAUGAAGAGAUCGAUGAAGAAAUUAACAGGCUACAAGAACAACAAGGCUUUCAGCAAAGACCCAGACUUCUCCGCCCCAGCCUCUCCCACCAAUCUGACUGUCAAGAUGAGGGUGUCUACUCUGGAGGCCCAGGGGGAGUACACAUGUGUGUUUGCCACUGAUGAAGAGGAGAUCACUAACAGCAUGUUUCUCACUGUCCUGGCUCGACCUGAUAUCCACACAGUGGUGACAGAGGACACAGACAACGCUACCCACUACCAGUCAGUCACAUGCUCAGCUACCAAUGGUAAACCUAUGGCUCUGAUUCGCUGGGAGAUCAACAGCAGUCCUCCUACUGACAACUCCUCUGUGGAGAUGAGGAACACCAGUUAUACCAAUGGCACUGCCACUAUGACCAGCAUCCUCCGCUUCCCUACCCACCUACAGGACCAGGACAGGGUGACCUGUGUGGUCCAGCACCCAACCCUGCCUGACCCCACCACACAUGUCACAGUGGGGGUGGAGACCUUCAUGGCUCCCAAUGUGACCAUUGAGACAUACCUGGUUCUAGAGGACGGAGAGGAGUUCUGGGUGGUCACCUGUGGUGCUGCUGGAGGACGACCCCGAGCUGACAUCACCCUGGUGCUGCCCAAUCAGGAGACCAGUUCCAUGCUACAGAAGGAGGUUGUCAUGGAUGCAGCAGACACAUUGGUCAGGUCAUACCGCUUCCCAGCUGAGCUUCAUGAAGGGGAAAACAUCACCUGCCUGUUUGACCACCCCAAAUUUCCACACAGAGAGCUACGGACCACCACUUUGCCGGCAUUCUAUCUGUCUGCUGUUCGGCUGCUGAACCCAGGGUUGGCAGACAGCAGCAACAAGCGCCAGGCUGUAGAGUCAGUGGUGCUGGUGGAAGGACAGGGCAACAUCACCAUCGAGCUAGAGGUCGUUGGGGAUGUACCACGUUACAGUAUCGUAUGCACCAAAGAAGAGCAGUCUCUCCCUGAGGGUGUGGAGGUGAUUGGCAGUGUUCUAACCCUGCAGGGUCCUGUGGAGCUCCACCAUGCAGGGCUGUAUGAGUGUGAGGCCUCCUACUACAGCCACAGGGCAUCUGUACUGCUGGACAUUGCCGUUAACCCACAAGUCAAGCAGUCCGUGACUGUUCCUCCCAGCAUAAGGAUUGAUGUUCAGGAUAGACUGGGUGACAGGUUCAUUGAGUGCCUGGCUGCAGACUCUGUCCCUGUUGCCAAUGUGUCCUGGGUUCUACCUGAGGGUGUGUCUGGGCCCUCCUGGUCCAGUCUCACAUCCCAUAAUGGAACCUACUCUGUCAGCAGUGUGUUAGUCCUGCCUGCCUGCUCAGCCCAGGAGCUCAGUAUGGAGUGUGUGAUAGAUCAUUCUGUGUUUGUGUUGCCAGAAAGAAGACAGAUAACUCUCCAUGUGUGUGCUCCUCCUAACAUCACCAUCCAGUCCAGCUCUGAGUGGGAGGAAGACGUAGCAUACACACUGGUGCAGUGCACUGUGGACAGUGUUGGACCUGCUGCCACUAUCUCCUGGAGUGUUGGAGACAGUGACAAUAGUACCAGUCAGCUUAAAGAGGGGCAGGAGCAGGUUCAGGGGCAGCCUGAGCACCAUGCCAAUGGCUCUGUGACGGUCUGUAGUGUGUUGAGGCUCCCCACUUCCAUAUUCUCUGGUCAGAAUGUCACCUGUGUGGUGGAUCAGCUGGGUCUUGAGAGGCCAGAGAGAAGAGGGAUACUGCUGCGUGGACUGGAGUCCCCUGUGAUGCGUGUUUUUGUUGCGAGGCAGAGCAGAUCUCUGUGGCUGGCUGUGUGUGAGUACAGAGGGGACGGGAUCAGAGCACACCUCUCCUGGGUUCUACCUGACAACACCACAGGCCACAUCUUCUUCCGCUCUGGGUAUGAAGGUGUGAGAGUGCUAACCAACCUCACCUAUGAGUUCCCACUUGCCCUCCACGAGGGACAGGACCUGAUUUGCCUCAUUCAAAAUCACCAUGGACUUAAGGAGCGGAGGACAGUCCAUGUCCCCAGAUACUACAUCUCAUCUGUCAGAGUACUGAACCAAACCACUCCCCUGUACAAACCUUAUGGAGAUGAGUUCGUUAUACACCGAAUGUCCCUAAAGGAGAAUUUCCAAAACCAGAGGAUCCUGCUCAAAGUCUAUGGCAGUGUACCAACUUACAACCUCACCUGUCACAGAAAUGAUGGCUCAUUGGUCCAGAUGGAUGGCGGAGCUCUGUUGUUCCAAUCAAAGGUCACGGAGCAGGAUGCGGGCCUCUACACCUGCCACGCCUCUUUCUACCACCAUAAGGCCUCAGUCCUCAUUCAAGUGGAGGUCACCAGUGAAAAUCAACAGCUCAUGAUGGUCUUCAUCGUCUGCUUCUCCUCGGCUGCGGCCAUCACGAUCCUCCUCAUCGUCACUUUGUGUGUUUUCUGCAAAAUAAAUGGAGGAGACCGCCCAGCAUCUAAGUCCUGUAAGAAGCGAGAGUCGCUGGCGCCCCUGACCUCUCUGACCCAGGACCUGUGCUCUCCAGAGUUGAGGAAGGGGAAGGCAGCAGUGACAGUACCAGGAGGAGGAGGCCAGGAGUACAACCAGCUGCUCAGCUACUCUAUUGUCAUUGAUGCCAGAUCCACUGUGUAAAUAACAGGGUGCAUCCCCUACUGCCACCCUAUUCCCUGUAUAGAGCACUACUUGUGCACAAUAUAGACUGGUUUAUUUAAUUUGGUAGGUAAAAAAAAAAAACAUACUCAGUAAAUGCAUUUUAAAAAACUUGACGAGGAUAUCACAAAAGUCAGAGACUUAUUUCCAUUGAGGUCCCUAAAUUCCAUGGUGCAAAAACAUUACAACAUCACAUACAGUUGAAGUCAGAAGUGUACAUACACCUUAGCCAAAUACAUUUAAACUCAGUUUUUCACAAUUCCUGACAUUUAAUCCUAGUAAAAAUUCCCUGUCUUAGGUCAGUUAGGAUCACCACUUUAUUUUAAGAAUGUGAAAUGUCAGAAUAAUAGUAGAGAGAAUGAUUUAUUUCAGCUUUUAUUUCUUUCAUAACAUUCCCAAUGGGUCAGAAGUUUACAUACACUCAAUUAGUAUUUGGUAGCGUUGCCUUUAAAUUGUUUAACUUGGGGCAAACUUUUUGGGUAGCCUUCCACAAGCACAAUAAGUUGUGUGAAUUUUGGCCCAUUCAUCCUGACAGAGCUGGUGUAACUGAGUCAGGUUUGUAGGCCUCCUUGCUCGCACAUGCUUUUUCAGUUCUGCCAACAAAUUUUCUAUAGGAUUGAGGUCAGGGCUUUGUGAUGGCCACUCCAAUACCUUGACUUUGUUGUCCUUAAGCCAUUUUGCCACAAUUUGGAAGUAUGCUUGGGGUCAUUGUCCAUUUGGAAGACCCAUUUGCGACCAAGCUUUAACUUCCUGACUGAUGUCUUGAGAUGUUGCUUCAAUGUAUCCACAUAAUUAUCCUUCUUCACACUUUUUUAUGGCGGUUUUGGAGCAGUGACUUCUUCCUUGCUGAGCGGCCUUUCAGGUUAUGUCGAUAUAGGACUCGUUUUACGGUGGAUAUAGAUACUUUUGUACCUGUUUCAUCCAGCAUCUUCACAAGGUCCUUUGCUGUUGUUCUUAGAUUGAUUUGCACUUUUCACACCAAAGUACGUUCAUCUCUAGGAGACAGAACGCGUCUCCUUCCUGAGCGGUAUGACGGCUGCGUGGUCCCAUGGUGUUUAUACUUGUGUACUAUUGUUUGUACAGAUGAACGUGGUACCUUCAGGCGUUUGAAAAUUGCUCCCAAGGAUGAAUCAGACUUGUGGAGGUCUGCAAUUUUAUUUCUGAGGUCUUGGCUGAUUUCUUUUGAUUUUCCCAUGAUGUCAAGCAAAGAGGCACUGAGUUUGAAGGUAGGCCUUGAAAUACAUCCACAAAUACACCUCCAAUUGAUUCAAAUUAUGUCAAUCAACCUAUCAGAAGCUUCUAAAGCCAUGGUAUAAUUUUCUGGAAUUUUCCAAGCUGUUUAAAGGCACAGUCAACUUAGUGUAUGUAAACUUCUGACCCACUGGAAUUAUGGGUCAGAAGUUAAAUAACCUGUCUGUGAACAAUUGUUGGAAAAAUGUCUUGUGUUAUGCACAAAGUAGAUGUCCUAACUGACUUGCCAAAACUAUAGUUUGUUAACAAGAAAUCUGUGGAGUGGUUGAAAAACGAGAUUUAAUGACUCCAACCUAAGUGUGUGUAAACUUCCGACAACUGUAGAUACAGAUACAUUACAUAGAUAGACAUUUUUUUUUUCAUUAGCAAGCUUUUGACUGUAGGCAACCACAGGCUUAUGCUAUAUGUCAGAGAACACUCAGAUGGGUCUGGUGCCAGGAUAUUAAAAUGCAUUAUUUUGUGAAUUUUUCACGAUUAUUUGUUUUGUUUAUUAGUGUAUUAUUAUGUAUGUCAUGUUUUGGUGUUUUCAAUAAUCGUAAUAUGUUGUAAAGAAAUGUUUUGUAAAACUUCUAGAAAUGAUGUUGAGCGUAGCAACUGUUUGUUUUACUGUUUUGUCAUGCUAAACUCUGAAUGUUGUUCAAUUUGGUUAUCUAAUGUUGUAAAAUCCAGAGCAUUAUCAUUAAAGUUACUGUAAAUGUGUAUCUUGUUAUUGAAACUGCCUUGUUUGACAGGUUUAAGACUAAAUUAAUUGACACACACAUAAGUGUGUGCGCGCGCACAAUUUAUUAUGAGCAUUUAUUCAUGCAUGGACAAAAACUAUAUUUCACACUCCAAUUACUUAUUUAGCAUCUACUAGCGCCCCCCUGUGGAACAUACGAGAUACCACAACAUGGGCCAUAAAAAUUGACGUAACGUCCCAUGUAACUAUGGGAACGAGACCUACUAAUAUUUUGCCGUGGACCAAGUUUGAAAUGUUAGGUAGCUAAGUUAGAUAGUUAAUAAAGCUAGUUAGCCCUUUUCCCAUCUAAAUGGACAGUUAUAUAUUCAUGCAAGUUACCGAGCUAGCUCCCAUAAGAUCAACUUUUACACGCAGUGAUUUUUUUUUUGCAUUCGAGCCCUCAUUGCUAACUGUAACGUUAGCUAACUAACAGUUGGGUAUGAAAGCUGUCAGAG